This is a long non-coding RNA of Mercenaria mercenaria, 1201 nucleotides long. RefSeq lists it as uncharacterized. The transcript has 3 exons. Lineage: Eukaryota; Metazoa; Mollusca; Bivalvia; Venerida; Veneridae. The record is from RefSeq and is a predicted model, not a curated record.
AAACCACUGAUAUUCACACAAAAACGGGUGUAAAUUUAUGUAAUGCUGAUGUAAAUAUUCAGUGAUGCAUUUCUAUUUAUUGGAAUUUAAUGUUCAAAUAUCUAUUAAACGCAGUAGGUGUGUUAAAAUUGUGAAUAUUUCGAAGUGAAAAUUUGGUUCUAUUUGGAUAUAAGCUACGGACGAAAUUGGAUAUAAAAAAUAUUUGUUCAAACUUCAGGUAUUUUGCAUACGACACUAUUUGUCCGAGUCUGGAAUGAGACAAAAUGAAGGAAAAGAGUUCCGUCAGGACUCUAGCUGGAGUUGGGUUGUCGCCCUUGCUGCAUUUGCUGCUCACUUGAUUACCCAUGGUAUUGUGUAUUCAUUUGGAAUUCUGUUUCUGACAUUGCAAGACAAUUUCAAUGGAACUAAAGCAGAAAUUUCCUGGAUUCCGUCCCUCACGACGGGCACCUUGUACUUAAUUGGUCCAGCAGCAAGUAUAAUGGUCAAUCGGUAUGGUUGUCGGACGGUUACGAUUGCUGGCUCUAUCCUUGGUUGUCUUGGAUACCUAGUCAGUAUAUUCGUUCGGCAUCUAUUAUUGUUGUACAUAACGCUUGGAAUUGUUGCAGGUGUGUGUUCCCUAGUUUUAAUUACAUUUUGUGGUGAAGCAAUCUGAGUUUAAAUUUAGUAUAUACUAAAUUGUUUCUGCUCGAAUCAGAACGAUCACUCUGUAACCCUCCCACAUCCACACUAAUAACAACAACAUGUGUUUUCUUCUCACAGCUCUCUACUAAAGUCAACAUGUUUCCCUCCAACGACCCCUCUUUUAUUACAUUCUAUGUGUUUCCCUACCACAACCCUGUUCCUUCUUCUAUGUGUUUCUCAUCAGCAACCCUACUCCUAACAACACACUAUGUAUUUUCCGCACAUGGCUCCGCUUCGACGAUAGUUUACUUUCAUCUUUCCCACAACUCCUUUUUCUACUACAUUCUUUGCCACACACCCAGUUUCAACAGCAACCAUCUACGUAUUCCCCACACAACCACAAUCCUAACAACACAAAGAAUUCACCUCCCACAUCCCAACUUCUAACAACUCUCUGCGUGUCUCCAAAACACAAACCCACUUCUAACUACAAUCUACGACUUUCACUCUCACAUCCCCCGCCAACCCCACUGUUACUGCACUCUACGUAUUUCCCUUCUACAGCUUCACAUCUACUGCA